AGUGAACGCUGGCGGUAGGCCUAACACAUGCAAGUCGAACGGCAGCACAGUAAGAGCUUGCUCUUACGGGUGGCGAGUGGCGGACGGGUGAGGAAUACAUCGGAAUCUACUUUUUCGUGGGGGAUAACGUAGGGAAACUUACGCUAAUACCGCAUACGACCUACGGGUGAAAGCAGGGGAUCUUCGGACCUUGUGCGAUUGAAUGAGCCGAUGUCGGAUUAGCUAGUUGGCGGGGUAAAGGCCCACCAAGGCGACGAUCCGUAGCUGGUCUGAGAGGAUGCGCCCCCACCCCUUGGGGGAGACACGGGGGGGAAUUCUAGGGGAGGGGGCAGUGGCCAAUACCAGCCAUUCGGCGGGGGCGAAAACCACCUUUGGCUUGUGAGUCCUUUUUGUGGGAAAAAAAAAAAGCCGUUUUACCCCCCAUCUUUUUGGCAGUACCCAAAAAAAAAGCCCCGGCUAACUUCCGG
RNAcentral lists this ribosomal RNA (467 nucleotides) under uncultured bacterium. RNAcentral describes it as "partial 16S ribosomal RNA". It matches the Rfam family "Bacterial small subunit ribosomal RNA", at positions 29 to 507 of the family's 1533-position model. The record is from RNAcentral.